This is a non-coding RNA of Phalacrocorax carbo (great cormorant), 1431 nucleotides long. The record is from RefSeq and is a predicted model, not a curated record. NCBI's taxonomy places the organism in Eukaryota, Metazoa, Chordata, Aves, Suliformes, Phalacrocoracidae.
AGCGCGGCGCCUCGCCGUCGGCGGCCCCGGGGAGGCGCGGAGCGGCCGUGAGGCCCCGCCGGGAGCGCGGUGGCUUAGCGGGGUUUGCAGUGUUUCCCUAAAUAGCCUGGACCUGUUCUGAUCACUGGAAGCUUAUUCCAGAUCUUGGUUUCCUCAGACUUUAAAGUGGACUUUGUGAUCUGCACUGCUCAGGAGGGAAAAAUGCUGUGUGGCGGCUGGAAGAGAAGAGUGAGAAAAUGUGAAACAGUCCUGCAGACACCAAGGUCAGUGAAGAAGGGGGAGGAGGUGCUCCAGGUGCCAGAGCUCCCCUGCAGCCUGUGGUGAAGACUACAGGGAGACAGGCUAUCCCCCUGCAGCCCAUGGAGGUUGGUGGUGGAGCAGAUAUCCACCUGCAGCCCAUGGAGGACCCCAUACCGGAGCAGGUAGAUGAGCCUUUAAGCCUGUGGAGACCCCAUGCCAGGACAGGCUCCUGGCAGGAGCUGCAGCCUGUGGAGAGGAGCUGGUGCUGGAGCAGGUUUUCUGGCAGGAACUGUUGCCUGUGGGGGACCCACGCUGAAGCUGUCCAUUCCUGAACGACUGCACCCUAUGGAAAGGACCCACGCUGGGGAGCAGUUCAUGAACUGCAACCUGUGGGAAGGACCCACAUUGGAGCAGUUUGUGAAGGACUGUCUCCUGCCAGUGGGACGCCAUGCUGGACCAGAGGAAGUGUGAGGUGGAAGGAGUGGCAGAGAUGAAGUGCUAUGAACUGACCACAACCCUGAUACCCCUGCCCUGCUUGGUGGGGAGGAGGUAGAGGAGCUGUGAUUGAAAUUGAGUCUGGGAAGAAGGGGGGUGGGGAAGAAGGUAAUUUUAGUUUUGUUUUUGUUUCUCACCAUCUCUAUUUUUAAUUGGCAAUAAAUCAGAUUUAGGCUCUGUUUCGCCCGUGACGAUAAUUGGUGAGCGAUCUCCCUGUCCUUGUCUCAACAAGAUAAAGAGCUUUUUGUCUCUUUUAUUCCCCCAUUUUGCUGAGGAGAGGGAGUGAGAGAGCGGCUGGGUGGGCACCUGGCAGCCAACCAAGGCCAACCCACCAAAGAAGUACACUGUUCACCCAUUUCCAGAUGUCAAUCUAACAGACAUAUUGUACAGUCUUGCAGAGGACAUACCUGCAAAGUGUCAUGCAAAGGAUGUUCUCUUUCUACCACGGCUACAUGCCUUACAGUGCAAAUUCUCCAACAAGGGUUUCUCCCCCACACUACACACCUCAUUUUAAACCAAAACAAUUAGUUUUCCUGCAUGAUGAUCAUUCUAGUGUCAUAUUGUUAUUUACACAUGAAAAUACAUUUUUAAAAAGUAAAUAGUUCUGAAUGUGAAAUUCAGCCCUGCAGGCAAUAGCAUAGGCUCUGCAGUCAGUUGAGAUGCAAUAAAUUAUCUUCUGUUGCUUUUUUCCUGAGA